Molecule: non-coding RNA, 74 nt
Filed under: Bacillus sp. V-88
Lineage: Bacteria; Bacillati; Bacillota; Bacilli; Caryophanales; Bacillaceae
Source: RNAcentral
GUAAGCCGUAUGCCUUAAUAGGGCACGUACGGUUUGAUAAGGGGGGAGCCACGAGAGUGGCUUCCCUACUUUAU